Molecule: ribosomal RNA, 498 nt
Filed under: uncultured bacterium
Lineage: Bacteria
Description: partial 16S ribosomal RNA
Rfam family: Bacterial small subunit ribosomal RNA
Source: RNAcentral
GACGAACGCUGGCGGCGUGCCUAAUACAUGCAAGUCGAACGAGAGCGACCGGUGCUUGCACUGGUCAAUCUAGUGGCGAACGGGUGAGUAACACGUGGGUAACCUGCCCAUCAGAGGGGGAUAACAUCCGGAAACGGAUGCUAAAACCGCAUAGGUCUUCGAACCGCAUGGUUUGAAGAGGAAAAGAGGCGCAAGCUUCUGCUGAUGGAUGGACCCGCGGUGCAUUAGCUAGUUGGUGAGGUAACGGCUCACCAAGGCCGUGAUGCAUAGCCGACCUGAGAGGGUGAUCGGCCACAUUGGGACUGAGACACGGCCCAAACUCCUACGGGAGGCAGCAGUAGGGAAUCUUCCGCAAUGGACGCAAGUCUGACGGAGCAACGCCGCGUGAGUGAAGAAGGUUUUCGGAUCGUAAAACUCUGUUGUUAGAGAAGAACAAGUGCUAGAGUAACCGUUAGCGCCUUGACGGUAUCUAACCAGAAAGCCACGGCUAACUACGUG